CGGCCUUGACAUACUAAGAACUUUCCAGAGAUGGAUUGGUGCCUUCGGGAACUUAGAUACAGGUGCUGCAUGGCUGUCGUCAGCUCGUGUCGUGAGAUGUUGGGUUAAGUCCCGNAACGAGCGCAACCCUUUUCCUUAUUUGCCAGCGGGUCAUGCCGGGAACUUUAAGGAUACUGCCAGUGACAAACUGGAGGAAGGCGGGGACGACGUCAAGUCAUCAUGGCCCUUACGGCCAGGGCUACACACGUGCUACAAUGGUCGGUACAAAGGGUUGCUACCUCGCGAGAGGAUGCUAAUCUCAAAAAGCCGAUCGUAGUCCGGAUCGCAGUCUGCAACUCGACUGCGUGAAGUCGGAAUCGCUAGUAAUCGCGGAUCAGAAUGCCGCGGUGAAUACGUUCCCGGGCCUUGUACACACCGCCCGUCACACCAUGGGAGUUUGUUGCACCAGAAGUAGGUAGUCUAACCGCAAGGAGGACGCUUACCACGGUGUGGCCGAUGACUGGGGUGAAGUCGUAACAAGGUAAGCGUAGAUGA
Molecule: ribosomal RNA, 534 nt
Filed under: uncultured bacterium
Lineage: Bacteria
Description: bacterial SSU rRNA
Rfam family: Bacterial small subunit ribosomal RNA
Source: RNAcentral